Molecule: unclassified non-coding RNA, 145 nt
Filed under: soil metagenome
Description: partial internal transcribed spacer 1
Source: RNAcentral
UAAUAAGUGUUUUAUAGCACUUUUUAAAUCCAUAUCCACCUUGUGUGCAAUGUCGGUCGAUCUUCUUCAUGGAGAUCGACCAAACAUCAACCUUUAUCUUUUAACUCUUUGUCUGAAAAAUAUUAUGAAUAAACAAUUCAAAAUA